Molecule: non-coding RNA, 48 nt
Filed under: Trichobilharzia regenti
Lineage: Eukaryota; Metazoa; Platyhelminthes; Trematoda; Strigeidida; Schistosomatidae
Source: RNAcentral
AUCCAGCUGACGAGUCCCAAAUAGGACGAAAUGCGCGCUAUUCUGGAU